AGUGGCGCACGGGUGCGUAACGCGUGGGGAUCUACCAUGGGGUGCGGAAUAACUCAGAGAAAUUUGAGCUAAUACCGCAUAAUGUCUUCGGACCAAAGAUUUAUCGCCCUUUGAUGAACCCGCGUAGGAUUAGCUUGUUGGUGAGGUAAGAGCUCACCAAGGCGACGAUCUUUAGCUGGUCUGAGAGGAUGAUCAGCCACACUGGGACUGAGACACGGCCCAGACUCCUACGGGAGGCAGCAGUGGGGAAUAUUGGACAAUGGGCGAAAGCCUGAUCCAGCAAUGCCGCGUGAGUGAUGAAGGCCUUAGGGUUGUAAAGCUCUUUUACCAGGGAUGAUAAUGACAGUACCUGGAGAAUAAGCUCCGGCUAACUCCGUGCCAGCAGCCGCGGUAAUACGGAGGGAGCUAGCGUUGUUCGGAAUUACUGGGCGUAAAGCGCGCGUAGGCGGUUACUCAAGUCAGAGGUGAAAGCCCGGAGCUCAACUCCGGAACUGCCUUUGAAACUAGGUGACUAGAAUCUUGGAGAGGCGAGUGGAAUUCCGAGUGUAGAGGUGAAAUUCGUAGAUAUUCGGAAGAACACCAGUGGCGAAGCGACUCGCUGGACAAGUAUUGACGCUGAGUGCGAAAGCGUGGGGAGCAAACAGGAUUAGAUACCUUGUAGUUCACGCGGA
This 671-nucleotide ribosomal RNA is filed under the name uncultured bacterium. RNAcentral's name for it is "bacterial SSU rRNA". It matches the Rfam family "Bacterial small subunit ribosomal RNA", at positions 94 to 803 of the family's 1533-position model. The record is from RNAcentral.